Pezoporus flaviventris is the source of this 895-nucleotide long non-coding RNA. RefSeq lists it as uncharacterized. The record is from RefSeq and is a predicted model, not a curated record. Lineage: Eukaryota; Metazoa; Chordata; Aves; Psittaciformes; Psittacidae. The transcript is spliced from 4 exons.
UUGGAACAUCAUCUAGCUAUAGUUUAAUCUAUAGAAACUUUCAGCUCUAGUCUCAGUUGUGUACUUAAAACAGCUAUUCUUCACUGGGGUGGUCCCAAAAGGGAAGUCGGGUAAUCUAUGAGAAGGGAACAGAAUACACUGUCACGUUAUAGAAAAGAGCCAACAUUUACCUCAGAAUGCUUUAAUCCUUGAGUUUAUGAGCUUUAAGAACACCACAAGUAUAGUUGAUGCUGACAGGUCACAUCAUCCCUUAUGAAAUGGAGAAAAGGGGACAGACACCCUAUGAAGCAUCCAUAUUUAUUUCAGUGGACUUAUUCCUGACAUGUAUUGCUACAAAGACUUUUGUUCGUAGAGUAUCAGGUAAUUAAAAUAAAUCUAAAACUGAACCUGGAAAGAUGUUGAUUUCCAAUUCAGUAAAUCCUAGCAAUAUUACAAUAAGUUUGUUUUUAAUUCUUAAAAAACAUAUUAAAAUUAACUUUUUUCCCAUUUAUGUAAUGCAUAUAACUAAACUUCCUUCCUAUUGUGAGACAGUUUCAUUUAUUGUUAUUUGUAAACAGCUUAGUAAAGAUGCAUAGUGGAUUGGUGUAGAAACUCCUUGAACAGUUUCUUUUGAAAUAACACUACAUACGUUAAGCUCAAUUACACAUCCAAACAGCCACAACACACUUUUGGUAAUUUAUUCAUUGAUUUAACAUAGUACCCAGAAGAGUCAUGCCUGCUGUCAAUUUUGUAAUAUAUUAUGUUUUAAAUAUACUCAUGCUCACCCAUGCACGCCAUUAAGGUGUGCAUAAACCUGUGUUUUUCUCUCUUGACAGCUAUAAAUGUUUGUUAUUAUUACACAAAACAUAUGUUCAUGUUGUUUUUGUCUAAAUUAUUCUAUCUGGGGCUAUAAAGU